UGAAAGAGAGAAUCUCAGUUGAGGAACUAUCUCCUCUGAAUUUGCUUCUAGUACUGGGCUUAAAUAGAGAGCCUUGCCCAAGCUCAGCAGGCAUCUACCCCUGAGCUGCAUCCCAAGCUAUGUCAUUGGAUUGUCUUUCAGGCAAGCUCCUGCUUCCUGCCCUGUGUGAGUUCCAGUCCUGACUUCCUUUGGUGAUGAACAGCAAUGUGGAAGUGUAAGCUGAAUAAACCCUUUCCUCCCC
RNAcentral lists this long non-coding RNA (241 nucleotides) under Rattus norvegicus (Norway rat). Its description in RNAcentral is "long non-coding RNA NONRATT006574". The record is from RNAcentral. Lineage: Eukaryota; Metazoa; Chordata; Mammalia; Rodentia; Muridae.